AAUCAACGCUGGCGGCGUGCCUCAGACAUGCAAGUCGAACGCGAAAGUCUCCUUCGGGGGAUAAGUAGAGUGGCGCACGGGUGAGUAACACGUAGGUAAUCUACCUUCGGAUGGGGAAUAACAACCGGAAACGGUUGCUAAUACCGCAUAAUGCAGCGGCACCUAAUGGUGACAGUUGUUAAAGCGGGGGAUCGAAAGACCUCGCGUCUGAAGAGGAGCCUGCGGCGGAUUAGCAGUUGGUAGGGUAAUGGCCUACCAAGGCGACGAUCCGUAGCCGGCCUGAGAGGGCGGUCGGCCACACUGACACUGACAUACGGGUCAGACUCCUACGGGAGGCAGCAGUCGGGAAUUUUGGGCAAUGGGCGAAAGCCUGACCCAGCAACGCCGCGUGAAGGAUGAAAUCCCUCGGGAUGUAAACUUCGCAAGAACGGGAAGAAAUAAGUAGGGGACAACUACCCCCUAUGAUGACGGUACCGUUUGUAAGCUCCGGCUAACUCCGUGCCAGCAGCA
Molecule: ribosomal RNA, 510 nt
Filed under: uncultured bacterium
Lineage: Bacteria
Description: bacterial SSU rRNA
Rfam family: Bacterial small subunit ribosomal RNA
Source: RNAcentral